AAGAACUCGACUCGGUUUCCACACGAUCGUGCCUUGAGAAAUUCCAUAAAUCAUUUUCAAUUCCUCCUGACGAGAAGCUUGUUAAUUGUAAGCCAAUAAGCCUAGAAAACCGAAGAUCAUCUCAAAAAAUUUAAUUUUCAGACUACAAAUGUUGCCUGUGGAAGGGAAAAGUUCCGGCUCAAGGAGAUUUGUUCCUUUCUGUCAAUUUUCUGUGUUUUCACGCUUUUAUGAUGGGAAAUGAAACGAAAAUUAAGCUGAAAUGGACGGAUAUUGUGGUUUGUUUUAGAAAAAAAUCGCACUGGAAAAGUUUAAAAACAAUUAAUUUUCAAAAAAAAAAACGGAUUUUUCUUAUAAAAUCGACAAAUUCAUCAAUUUUCAAAAUAAUUGGAUUUUUUUUUUGAAAUUUUUCACAGAAAAAUUAUUAAUUAAGGUUAAUUUAUAGUUUUUAAAACCAAUUUUGAGGGUUUAACAAAAAAAAUUCUGAGACAUUGACAAAUUAACUUUCGAACUACGAGUUUUGCGGAUUUUCGAUUUUUUUUUUGGAAGAAAAAUCGAAUUUUCAAUAAUUUUUGGUUGUUUCUCUAUAUUUUUUUUUGAUAUUUUUCAAAAAUAAAUCGAAAAAUUCCGAUGAGAACCACCAAAAAUUAAUUUAAACAAAACAUUUUUUUUGUUGCAAAAUUGAAAAAAAUAAUCACAAAAAUUUAGAAAAAUUCUGUAAUUUUUAGACCGAAACCCCCGCAGAAUCUACUCUAUUUUUAAGAAAUUUUUACAAAAAAUCAUAAAAUUUAGCUGAAAUGGACUGAUAUUGUGGUGUGUUGUAGAAAAAUCGCCCUGGAAAGGUAAAAAAAAUUAAUUUUCAAAAAAAAACUAUUUUUUCUUAUCAAAAUCGACAAAUGUUCGUAUUUUUUCGAUGCUUCAAUUUUUUUUUGGAAAAAAUUGCAUUUUCGGUCGUUUCUCUAUUUUUUUUCAAAAAAAAAAACCAUUUUUCACAUUCGACACUAUUUUUUUAAUUGUUAAAAAAAUAAUCGAAAAUUUCGGAUCAGAACCACCAAAAAAUUAAAUUAAACAAAACAUUUUAUUGUUGCAAAAUUGGAAAAAAUAAUCACAAAAAUUUAGAAAAAUGCUGUAAUUUUUAGACCGAAUCCCCCGCAGAAUCUACUCUAUUUUUAAGAAAUUUUUACAAAAAAUCAUAAAAUGCAUAAAUUUCAGAGAUUGGAGCGAGUUUCGUCGAUUCUCUUCCCACAAAGCAUUCUCGUCGUAACGAAAGAAGACAAAAAAUUCAGUUUUUCAAUGUUCCUGAAUUUUGAGGAAACAUUUCAACUCGCAUCACAACUUGCAAAUAUCGCAAUGAAACAGUUCGUGAUUUUUGAAAAAAAAAAUUAUAUAAAAAUCAAAAAAAUUCCAGGCUAAUAGAAGAAGAAGGAUUCUGCGAGGACAGUGCUCUCCGCCGAAAAAUGCUCAUGGAAAGUGAGCACAGAAGGACUGUAAAGACGAAAGCAUCGUUUUUGAAACGAGAUCUUGAUGCCAGACAUCGAAGUGACGCUUUUAGG
Molecule: small RNA, 1550 nt
Filed under: Caenorhabditis elegans
Lineage: Eukaryota; Metazoa; Nematoda; Chromadorea; Rhabditida; Rhabditidae
Description: Unclassified non-coding RNA Y45F10A.10
Source: RNAcentral